GACGAACGCUGGCGGCGUGCUUAACACAUGCAAGUCGAACGGAAUGGCCCUGCUUUUGUGGGGUGCUCGAGUGGCGAACGGGUGAGUAACACGUGAGUAACCUGCCCUUGACUUUGGGAUAACUUCAGGAAACUGGGGCUAAUACCGGAUAGGAGCUCCUGCUGCAUGGUGGGGGUUGGAAAGUUUCGGCGGUUGGGGAUGGACUCGCGGCUUAUCAGCUUGUUGGUGGGGUAGUGGCUUACCAAGGCUUUGACGGGUGGCCGGCCUGAGAGGGUGACCGGCCACAUUGGGACUGAGAUACGGCCCAGACUCCUACGGGAGGCAGCAGUGGGGAAUAUUGCACAAUGGGCGGAAGCCUGAUGCAGCAACGCCGCGUGCGGGAUGACGGCCUUCGGGUUGUAAACCGCUUUCGCCUGUGACGAAGCGUGAGUGACGGUAAUGGGUAAAGAAGCACCGGCUAACUACGUG
RNAcentral lists this ribosomal RNA (468 nucleotides) under uncultured bacterium. RNAcentral describes it as "partial 16S ribosomal RNA". It matches the Rfam family "Bacterial small subunit ribosomal RNA", at positions 28 to 507 of the family's 1533-position model. The record is from RNAcentral.